Molecule: long non-coding RNA, 848 nt
Filed under: Arachis ipaensis
Lineage: Eukaryota; Viridiplantae; Streptophyta; Magnoliopsida; Fabales; Fabaceae
Description: long non-coding RNA (AIPA_LNC001701)
Source: RNAcentral
GCUAUAUUGUAUAUUAUUUAUUUGGUAUGCCUUUGCUUUUGCUUUAUUGUAUUUAAAAUCGAACAAAAUACAGAUAUUAAGGGAGUACAAUGUUGAUUAAUCUAUUUUGCAAAAGAAGACAUUUCUCAACUCUAUAAAUUUGAAAAAAAUAUGAACCCUAAUGCCUAUGAGGGACAAUCGCGAGAAUAAACGCAUAUACAUACAUCAUGAGAUUUUCUUUUCGCACAUAGUCCUUGUCCAUCCUGAUAGCGAUAAACACAUAUGAGAUUGCAUAGAGAUGCACGACAAGGAUUAAGGUACAGCUCUUUCAAACAUAAUACCCCUUCUGCCCUUGCCGCAGUAAAAACUACAAAAAUUAAAAAAAAAAGUAACAGAAAUAUACUCCGUCCACUGCCUCCUCUUCUCAACGAUACCCUCUGCCGCCUCCUCUUCUUGGUGACGCCGCUGCCGCCACCUCUUCUUGAUAACAUAAUAGUUUUUACUUUUUUUAUAUGAUGAUCAUAUCAAAGUGCACUCGAUUUUUUAGUCUAUUUUAAGCUCAAUCAUCAAAUAAUCAACAUUAUAUAUGUGUCUUUAAUUUUCAAACCAUAGUUAUAAUAAUAAUAAUAAUAAUAAUAAUAAUAAUAAUAAUUUAUUUUUGAAAACUUUCUUAACAUUUGUAUAUAGGUAUGCUUAAAUAUAUAUUGUACCAGAAAUAAUUAAAAUAAGGGCAAAAAUUGCAGCAUAGGAAAUCUUAGCCAUCAUAUUAAGGCAUAAACUCUUAUGGCUUGGAUACUGUUGCAGAGUGACUUCUAUCUGUUAUUAGUGGGCUUUAGAUGGUUUGUGCCAAUAUAAAUAGGAGUCUUUGG